AGAGAGAGACAUGCGCGCAUAUCAAUAAGCGGAGGAAAAGAAACUAACAAGGAUUCCCCUAGUAACGGCGAGUGAAGCGGGAAGAGCUCAAAUUUGAAAUCUUAAAGGGUUUCCCUUUACGAAUUGUAGUUUAAAGAAGUGUUUUCUGUUGAAGUUUUGGUAAAAGUUCUUUGGAAUAGGACAUCAUAGAGGGUGAGAAUCCCGUAUUUGACCAUUACUUUUCAGCUGUGUGAUACACUUUCAAAGAGUCGGAUUGUUUGGGAAUGCAGUCCAAAAUGGGUGGUAAAUUUCAUCUAAAGCUAAAUAUUGGCGAGAGACCGAUAGCGAACAAGUACCGUGAGGGAAAGAUGAAAAGAACUUUCGAAAGGAGAGUUAAACAGUACGUGAAAUUGUCAAAAGGGAAGCGUUUGACACCAGUGUUGUUUUUCUGAAAAUCAAUUAAAGAACUGUUUAUGCUAAGUUGUUUAGACUUUAUCAGCUAACUGUUUAGUUUUGAGCUUUUCUUUAAUGCACUUUUCAGUUAACAAGUCAACAUCAAUUUCUUUUGCUGUAAAAAAGCUUGAGGAAGGUGGCUUGAGAUUCGUCUUAAGUGUUUAUAGCCUCUUGCCUAUGCAGUCGGAGAGAUUGAGGUCUGCAGCGUAGAUCCUUCGGGGCUAAAUGCAUUUGUGCUAAGUUAUAGCAUUUUAUAGACAACUUGUUGACUAUGAUUUGUCUUGUAGCUUACUCGCUUAUGUUAUUUUACCUACGCUUAGGAUGUUGAGCGCAUGUCUCUCUCU
This 776-nucleotide ribosomal RNA is filed under the name uncultured Neocallimastigales. RNAcentral's name for it is "partial large subunit ribosomal RNA". It matches the Rfam family "Eukaryotic large subunit ribosomal RNA", at positions 23 to 616 of the family's 3401-position model. The record is from RNAcentral. Lineage: Eukaryota; Fungi; Neocallimastigomycota; Neocallimastigomycetes; Neocallimastigales.